RNAcentral lists this ribosomal RNA (253 nucleotides) under uncultured bacterium. RNAcentral describes it as "partial 16S ribosomal RNA". It matches the Rfam family "Bacterial small subunit ribosomal RNA", at positions 524 to 776 of the family's 1533-position model. The record is from RNAcentral.
UACGUAGGGGGCGAGCGUUGUCCGGAAUUAUUGGGCGUAAAGAGCGUGUAGGCGGUUCGGUAAGUCAGCUGUGAAAGUCAAGGGCUCAACCCUUGAAAGCCGGUUGAUACUGUCGGGCUAGAGUCCGGAAGAGGCGAGUGGAAUUCCCGGUGUAGCGGUGAAAUGCGCAGAUAUCGGGAGGAACACCAAUGGCGAAGGCAGCUCGCUGGGACGGUACUGACGCUGAGACGCGAAAGCGUGGGGAGCAAACAGG